UAUGACGAAAGAGCCAUUUUAGCUAGUGAUGUUUUGUUUUUAGCAUAACUCAACUCUGGAGCUCAGUAAUUAAAAAGGCAUAUGCUUGUAAAUUUUGGAUUUAGUUCUAAAAAAUCAAACAAAAGUUUCUCUGCUGUUGCAUGUGAGAAUCAGCACUUCUGCAACAAACUCAAAUGGGCAGGCUGCCUCCAAACCCAGGACCUCUCAGUCAGCAAGAGGAAAAUUAUGCAGUUAAGCUGAAAAGGAAUUCCUCUUGACUCACCUGGAUAAGCUGCUGGAUGCUGAUUUGGAGACCUGUGUGUGAAUGUGAAAUGGAGAGGGUCAGAGCCCUGAGCGAUUCCUUGCCGAUGAAAGUAAUGAAAGCUGAUGAGUGGUAACCACAAGGAUACAUCUGUGAGAAGCAGGUUGACCAAAAUCACUUUCAAGCAGUGCAUGGACAGAUGGCCUGAUUUCCAGACAGGAACCAUUAACUGGAACCUGACUGUGUUCUGAUGUAAAACACGAGGAGUUUGUCAAUCCUGAAGGAUCUCAGAGCAGGGGUUUCUGCACCACCAAACUAAGAUGAACUAGAAUUGACGUUGUCUGAGUGUGGCACUUAGUGCCGCUAACCUACUGCCAAGUUGUUUUGCCUGCCUAAGGAAAAGUCAUCUCUGACGGAGGAUCACAGGAAUCAUCGGGUAAAGGGGUCCUUUCAUUGGAUUGGCUGGACCAGCGCUGACUCAGCUGUGGAAUAGCCUAUAGGGGAGGCAGCCUGAUGGCUGUGGUCUCCUGGAUGCUGAACAAAUCCAAAUCGUAUUAUGUAAUAUCAUCUGAUGAAGCAGAAUCGUCGCAAGAAAGGUGAAAAGGACAACUGGGCCAAAGAGGGGGAAACUUCAGCCACUUCCUUGUACAGGAUCAUGUUAAACAGACGUAUCCACCACACAUGACUUUUUUCAUUAAUGGAAGCAAUUUGUUUCUAUGGAAAGGAGCAGGACAAAUGUGGGCAACUGUAUGCAGGAUUGGGCAGGCGUGGGAUGGUAUACUGUACAAUGGGAGCGGGCAGGCAAAGGUUUAUCAAUAAAAUCAGUCCCAUGCAGACCUCUACUUCAAGGUGAAAAAAAAGAAAGAAAAAAGAAAGGCACAAGAAAUUCCCAUUAGUACAGCACUUGUUUGGGUCUGAGACUAUAAGGUCUUGCAUUGUGCAUGCUCUGAAGAAUGGCACGAUUUCAGUUGGUUAAAAAGAUUAGUUGUGUUACUUGUGUUUGUGGUAAAAUGCUUUUGACACAUUUCACAGUACAUGCUACUAUGCUUCUUGUCGGACUACGGACUUCAAAUAGCAAAAAUAUCUCCACACUACCAAAUUCAUCUGACCCUUCUUUUCAACAAUGUUGUCAUCUUUUGAGCCUUCAGUUAUGUCCACUGAGGUGUCUUUUUCAGUAAUGCUUAUUAUUUUCCAGUUUUCAUUAAUAUUUUAUGUCAUUUUCUCUUUUAUCUCGGUCCCACUCCUGACAUACUGGCAUGCACUAAUGAGUUAGAUCACUGCCAAAAGUCAGUGUGCAAGGAAAACACAUUUUGUAAAUGCAAGUAGAAUUUUGAGCUUAUUUUGCAAGGGUAAAUUAACUUCAUAAUGCAGGGCUGCUUCUACCCAAAACAUUAUCUGCUGCUGCUAGCUGCUAUUAUGCUCAGUACUGUGUGCUUCAACCUAAACUGACGUAGCUGUAACUCUAUUCCAGCCACAUGAUUGGUUCGGCAUGGCGCUAUUCUCAUUAUCAUUGGCUUUUGUGUUGUCUGUCAAAACUUGGAUGGAAUGCGUUCUAUCAAGUUUCUAUUAACCAUGUCCAAAAUUUCUAUAGAGAAAAAGUUAUUUCGCGAUAAUUAUCAUUUUAUUGCUCAGCCUUAUGUCUAGCUAAUACAAACUUUCCUCAUAACAAAUACUAAUGAUUCUGCAGUCUAUUAUCUCAAUUUGCUAGGAUUCCAUUAUGUCUGUCUUACAGUACAGCAAAAAUAGAGCUAAACACAUUAUUUAAGAUGUGAACUAAAAGGGGCAUUAAAAAAUAUUACCCCAACCUUUCAAGACAUGUAUUUCAGGUACUAAUAUUCCUUAGAUAUUUAUUAUCUUACCAGCCUCUUUAUUUCACAAAAAGAGUUUUAUUGUGGAGAGUGGCAGGAUCUUCUGGGAUUUCAGUGACUUUGUAAUGCAAUCUAAUAUUACACUCCUUAUUGUGUACUAAUAUUUAAAAGUUUCAUUCAUAAUAGUGAACAUUAAAUUUUACAUACUGUAUGUCUAAAUUUCUGAAUGUAUAUGCUAUAUUUCGCCCAUGUCCAACUGUUUAGAGUAUUUGCUGCCCCCCAUUAAACAGCUUCUGUAAUACUUUUACUGCUCUUCAUAAAUGCAAUUAACUUAUUAAAAAUGUUUUAUCCAAAUAAUUU
Long non-coding RNA from Polypterus senegalus (gray bichir), 2409 nucleotides. RefSeq lists it as uncharacterized. Lineage: Eukaryota; Metazoa; Chordata; Cladistia; Polypteriformes; Polypteridae. The record is from RefSeq and is a predicted model, not a curated record. The transcript has 5 exons.